Molecule: ribosomal RNA, 253 nt
Filed under: uncultured bacterium
Lineage: Bacteria
Description: partial 16S ribosomal RNA
Rfam family: Archaeal small subunit ribosomal RNA
Source: RNAcentral
UACCAGCACCACGAGUGGUCGGGACGUUUAUUGGGCCUAAAGCAUCCGUAGCCGGUUCUACAAGUCUUCCGUUAAAUCCACCUGCUUAACAGAUGGGCUGCGGAAGAUACUAUAGAGCUAGGAGGCGGGAGAGGCAAGCGGUACUCGAUGGGUAGGGGUAAAAUCCGUUGAUCCAUUGAAGACCACCAGUGGCGAAGGCGGCUUGCCAGAACGCGCUCGACGGUGAGGGAUGAAAGCUGGGGGAGCAAACCGG